UCAGCAGUCAAGAAUAUUAGUCAAUGCUCGCAAGAGUGAACUAGCUAACUGAAAUCACAGGAUCCACUACGUGUGGUGAAUGUUAUAACGUAAGGGAAAAAAAUGAUAUUACCUUACUAUUAGUGUUGUCCAAAACUGGUGCCAGAAGACUCGGUAAGGCCAGAGACGCAAACGUUAGUCGUCCUAAUCAGGCGUAAAGGGUAUGUAGGCUGCUUUAAAAGUUUAGUAUAAUAUUUUAAUAGCUCUGUUUAAAUGGAAAUUUUUUAUUUAGACAGUAAAAUAUACAAUGAAUUAAAGCUAGGAUCAAAUUGAGGAUAAUUUAAAGAAUACUUAGUGUAGGGUUUACAUCUGGUGAUACUAAGGGGAAUACUAACGGUGAAAGCUUUUUAUCUAGAAAUGAUCGACGCUGAGAAACGAAGGUGAGAAUAGGAAAUAGGAUUAGAUACCCAGAUACCUCUCACAGUCAACGAUGAAUGGUGGUUGUUAGUUAGUUUUAUUUAACUGAUAACGAUGUUAACACGAUAACCAUUCCGCCUUGCGAGUACGGUUGCAAAACUGAAACCAAAAAAAUUAGUCGGUCUCGAAGCAAACGAAGUGAAGCAUGUUAUUUAAUUCGAUAAUCC
RNAcentral lists this ribosomal RNA (623 nucleotides) under Entoloma conferendum. RNAcentral describes it as "SSU rRNA". It matches the Rfam family "Bacterial small subunit ribosomal RNA", at positions 348 to 960 of the family's 1533-position model. Lineage: Eukaryota; Fungi; Basidiomycota; Agaricomycetes; Agaricales; Entolomataceae. The record is from RNAcentral.